RNAcentral lists this ribosomal RNA (169 nucleotides) under Chromis chrysura (stout chromis). Its description in RNAcentral is "partial 12S ribosomal RNA". The record is from RNAcentral. Lineage: Eukaryota; Metazoa; Chordata; Actinopteri; Pomacentridae.
CACCGCGGUUAUACGAGAGGCUCAAGUUGACAGACAGCGGCGUAAAGAGUGGUUAAGGAAACUUCUAAACUAAAGCCGAACGCCCCCAGAACUGUUAUACGUUUCCGAAGGUAUGAAGCUCCACCACGAAAGUGGCUUUAUUCCCCCUGACUCCACGAAAGCUGUGAAA